This 598-nucleotide ribosomal RNA is filed under the name uncultured bacterium. Its description in RNAcentral is "bacterial SSU rRNA". It matches the Rfam family "Bacterial small subunit ribosomal RNA", at positions 338 to 945 of the family's 1533-position model. The record is from RNAcentral.
CCUACGGGAGGCAGCAGUGGGGAAUAUUGCACAAUGGGCGCAAGCCUGAUGCAGCGACGCCGCGUGAGGGAUGACGGCCUUUGGGUUGUAAACCUCUUUCAGCAGGGAAGAAGCGCAAGUGACGGUACCUGCAGAAGAAGCACCGGCUAACUACGUGCCAGCAGCCGCGGUAAUACGUAGGGUGCGAGCGUUGUCCGGAAUUAUUGGGCGUAAAGAGCUUGUAGGCGGUUUGUCGCGUCUGCCGUGAAAAUCCGGGGCUCAACCCCGGACUUGCGGUGGGUACGGGCAGACUAGAGUGUGGUAGGGGAGACUGGAAUUCCUGGUGUAGCGGUGAAAUGCGCAGAUAUCAGGAGGAACACCGAUGGCGAAGGCAGGUCUCUGGGCCAUUACUGACGCUGAGAAGCGAAAGCAUGGGGAGCGAACAGGAUUAGAUACCCUGGUAGUCCAUGCCGUAAACGUUGGGAACUAGGUGUGGGCCUCAUUCCACGAGGUCCGUGCCGCAGCUAACGCAUUAAGUUCCCCGCCUGGGGAGUACGGCCGCAAGGCUAAAACUCAAAGGAAUUGACGGCUGAGACGNGCGAGCGACGACGAGGGAGAG